GGUCCGCGGCUCAGGCAGCCGGAGCAGGGGGAGCGCAGGAGAGAAGAUGGAGGACGCCAGGGUCUGGCGCGGACUCGCUGGGCACUGCGGCGCCGUCUCCCGGGACUCCAACGCGGUGCCCAGCAGCGUCGCGUCCCUGUCAGACCCUCGGCGGCAGGCGCAGGCCACGGCGGUCACCUGGCUCUUCAGUCCCGUAUGCGCCGCACUACCGUGCCUCCAAAUUGGGGGAAGCCCCCAGGACUUGGAGUGUCUCUCCCGUCUGAACAAAAAUCGAACUUGUGGUUGGACGGCGUCAGAUGUCACUGAGGUGACCCCAGCCUCUGUUUGCAGUUCCAAGUCUUCCGUGUAGGCGUCACUGCUGCUGGAACUUUGUAGGAUGAUGUCCUGAACGUUUGCUAUCCUCUCCUCAGAGAGGUAGCUACUGGGAAUAUCAGAGACAAGCUAUUAUUAAACCAAUGUCUCCAGUC
Molecule: long non-coding RNA, 467 nt
Organism: Neofelis nebulosa (Clouded leopard)
Lineage: Eukaryota; Metazoa; Chordata; Mammalia; Carnivora; Felidae
Exons: 2
Source: RefSeq, a predicted model, not a curated record